CGGGGGGGGCAAGCGUUGUUCGGAAUUACUGGGCGUAAAGGGCUCGUAGGCGGCCAACUAAGUCAGACGUGAAAUCCCCAGGCUCAACCUGGGAACUGGGUCUGAUACUGGAUGGCUUGAAUUCGGGAGAGGGAUGCAGAAUUCCAGGUGUAGCGGUGAAAUGCGUAGAUAUCUGGAGGAAUACCGGUGGCGAAGGCGGCAUCCUGGACCGACAUUGACGCUGAGGAGCGAAAGCUAGGGGAGCAAACGGGAUUAGAUACCCCGGUAGUCCUAGCCCUAAACGAUGAAUGCUUGGUGUAACGGGUAUCGAUCCCUGUUGUGCCGAAGCUAACGCAUUAAGCAUUCCGCCUGGGGAGUACGGUCGCAAGGCUG
Molecule: ribosomal RNA, 372 nt
Filed under: uncultured organism
Description: bacterial SSU rRNA
Rfam family: Bacterial small subunit ribosomal RNA
Source: RNAcentral